RNAcentral lists this ribosomal RNA (434 nucleotides) under uncultured Lachnospiraceae bacterium. RNAcentral's name for it is "partial 16S ribosomal RNA". It matches the Rfam family "Bacterial small subunit ribosomal RNA", at positions 341 to 792 of the family's 1533-position model. Lineage: Bacteria; Bacillati; Bacillota; Clostridia; Lachnospirales; Lachnospiraceae. The record is from RNAcentral.
ACGGGAGGCAGCAGUGGGGAAUAUUGCACAAUGGGGGAAACCCUGAUGCAGCGACGCCGCGUGAGUGAAGACGUAUUUCGGUAUGUAAAGCUCUAUCAGCAAGGAAGAAAAUGACGGUACUUGACUAAGAAGCCCCGGCUAACUACGUGCCAGCAGCCGCGGUAAUAUGUAGGGGGCAAGCGUUAUCCGGAUUUACUGGGGGUAAAGGGAGCGUAGACGGCAUAGCAAGUCUGAAGUGAAAUGCAUGGGCUCAACCCAUGAACUGCUUUGGAAACUGUUAAGCUAGAGUGCAGGAGAGGUAAGUGGAAUUCCUAGUGUAGCGGUGAAAUGCGUAGAUAUUAGGAGGAACACCAGAGGCGAAGGCGGCUUACUGGACUGUAACUGACGUUGAGGCUCGAAAGCGUGGGGAGCAAACAGGAUUAGAUACCCUGGUA